This 115-nucleotide ribosomal RNA is filed under the name Danio rerio (zebrafish). The record is from RNAcentral. Lineage: Eukaryota; Metazoa; Chordata; Actinopteri; Cypriniformes; Danionidae.
GCUGGUAGCUAGCUCUUAGCAACUCUCCCAUGGAUGCCCACUGAAGCUAAGCAGGGCUGUGCCUGGUCAGAUCCUGGAUGGGAGAUCGCAUGGAAAAGCUAGAUUGCUGCCGGAA